Long non-coding RNA from Homo sapiens (human), 497 nucleotides. NCBI's taxonomy places the organism in Eukaryota, Metazoa, Chordata, Mammalia, Primates, Hominidae. The record is from Ensembl.
AAGGGCUAAGGAGCACGUCAGGAGCACCCGAGGUCACUAGUUCAUGAUCCUUUCGGUCACCCGCGAGCCCUGAGCACAGCCGUGUUUACAAAGCACCCCUGGAGGAAAAGGCUGAACGGCACUUUAAAGGCCACGGGCUCCCACAGGCUUCCGUCCUCUCUCGCGAGAUCGGACUGACAACCCCCGCCCGCUCGCCCCGCUCCCGGCAUCCCCACCUUCCUUCUGGCGCCCCUCCCCUUCACCCACACGCCCCUUCUUGCCUUCCUUCUGAGGGAGCGCCUCCGAGUCAGGUGAUUCCGUCAGGCUUAAGGAGAAGAAGGCGGGUCUUCGGCAGGGCGGGUAGAGGGGACGGGCAUCAAAGAGCACUCGGGCGCUCAUGAUUGGACAAGGAGCCCGAAGGGCGGGAAGCAGUUCUGGAGGGGGCGGGACCAGAGGGCCCAAGGAGCGUUACUUCUGUAAACCCGGAGCUGUGGAAGACUGUGAUUGGCUGUCGGCUG